Transfer RNA from Aspergillus bombycis, 90 nucleotides. It matches the Rfam family "tRNA". Rfam says of the family: Transfer RNA (tRNA) molecules are approximately 80 nucleotides in length. The record is from Rfam. NCBI's taxonomy places the organism in Eukaryota, Fungi, Ascomycota, Eurotiomycetes, Eurotiales, Aspergillaceae.
UCCUCGAUGGUCUAACGGUCAUGAUUUCCGCUUGUCAUCCCUUAUGAGGAACAAGCGCGGGAGACCUGGGUUCGACUCCCAGUCGGGGAG